UUGACGAAAUCUCUCGAAUUUGGACUGAAUCACUUCGAUCUUUGCUCGAGUUAUCUCCCAAAGCUUUCUCUACCUCUCUCUCUCAAUACACACAAUAUUCGAUAUCUCUCUAAUCAUACAAAACCUAAUAAUAAUAGUGUUUUUAAUGGGCUCAUUGGAAAACAAAUUCGAUCUCCUAAAACAAGUUGGAUUCUGAGACAAAAUUCAUGGGCUGACUUUCAGGCCUGAUUCUGGACUGCUACAGCUGGAUUUUGAUUGCUGGCCCAUUUUAAACUUGUAGAAAAUUUCGAUAUCUUCGCGUGGGCUGUUAAAUCGCCCAAUUCUGACGUCCGGAACUCAAGUUAUGGCCUAAAUAAGAUUUGCUGCGCAGGUAGCCCAUAAAAUCCGAAUUUCCAUCAAAUAAAAGCCCAAAUAAGCUAAUUCAUCCAACUUAAGAAUAAUUAUUUUCCUGCCAUUAAACACUUAAAAUCAAUUAGUAAUAACCCGAUUAUUUACAAAAUACUUCAAUUAUGGGAAUAAAAUCAUAUAAAAGCAUAUAUAAAUAUAUGCUCUAUCAAAUAUCCCCAUACUUAGUGUUUUGCACGUCCUCGGGCAAAUAAAAUAAAUAAAACUGACACCUAAUAUAUAUAUACCACUUCCGUAGGUGAUCACGGUUGCAUUUGGCAUAUGCAACAAGCCCUUUAAACCCCUAGGCAGCCCUAGUGGACGAGUAAGGUCUCGUGAGGGUUUAUAGUGAAUGUACCCACAAAAUUCAUUUUUUUUUCUGCCAACUCUUAAGAAUGCAACUAAUAUGAAUGCAAACUAAAUGAAUAUGCAUAGAUCCCAAUCAUGAAAUUAUCAACCUUGUCAAUAUAUAAUCCUCAGAAUAUGCAACAAUUAAGGAUUUCAUCUAUCACACAUAUUAGUCAUGCAACUCUUCCACUGCAAGUACGGAGUGCAUCGUGUGUGCUCAACAUGCUCUCUAAUGAAACAAAACAGAGACCAACAAACUUCAACAGAAUCUUAACCAUGAGUCGUUAAUCAGAAUAAUGCUUAAACACUCCGUUACAUUAGAGCCAACUAUAGCUUAGGGUCACCAAGGAACUUCCAUGCCUCUCCUAAAUAUAUAUAUGCUUCUUCUCUUUUUUUUUUCAUUUUUUUUUCAGCAUCUAUUAUUUGGUGUGUACAUGCUCGGUCAAAGGUCGGAACGCUUCUCAGGGUCAGUGAGUUACGACCACCAUAAGACUUCACCAACUAAAUUGUUCACAUGCGAUUUAGGUGGCUUAUUUGACCGUGCAAUGGUUGAGAUCCCUAAAGACUUAUACACUAAUACCCAUUUAGCGAGUGUUGGGUCAGCAAUCCCAAACCAUGAAAGGCUUUAGGUUACUAGGCACAAAGUCCCCUCAGACUUAAUUACUCGAGUAUUAAUGAGCCCAACCUAAUCAAUUCUACCACCAUUUUUUUGUGAACUUUAUUGCUAAUACACGUAUCUUUUUUUUUCUUUUUUCUUUUCUCUCUUUUUUUUUAGAAAGGCAUGUACAUCCCAAAGCUCCCCCUCACUUGAGAAUUAUAGACUCUAAGCUCAAAAGGGAAUAGUCAAAAUUCUACGCCCGGCUCAAUAGUUAAGACUCAAGAAAUAAGCUAGUCUAAAUCUCGCCUCUAGAACAGUUAUUGUGUAAUUACAAAUUCCGUACAAGUAAUUUCUAAGCAUGCAAGACAUCACAUAUGAUCAUGACUACUAACCAAAAAAUUAUGCAAAUAAACUCAUCAUAGGAAAUUGACUUGGUCGACAGGCAUUCAUGGAAUUAUGCAAAUGCAAACUAAAAAGAAAACAAAUAAAUUAAAAUAAAAAUCUACAAAAAAAUAAAAUUGCAUGCUAAAUUAAAUAGCUAUAUGCUUUAAUUUAAAUGCAACUAUCAUGAAUUUCCUAAAUUAAGACAAGGCAACAUAUAAUUUUUAUUCUAAUUUUUUUUAAUAUUAAUAUUAUUAUUCGUGAGAACACAUCCCCACACUUAAAUGGUUCAUUGUCCUCAAUGAAUAAUAUAUAAUGUAACUAUAAAUUAAUAUAAAAAUAAUAUAAUAUAAUAUAAUAAAUAGUUAAAGAAUACUCCCCUGAGCUAACAGCUCCUUCCAGUAAGUUUAGUUGAAGUGUAACAGACUUGUAUCUAAACAGCAAGCUUGCUAAAGUGGUUGGUGCAUGAGUACUGAGACUUGGAGGUGUAGGGUUCAAUUCUCCUUGCCUGCAUCUAAGCAAGUGCACAGAAGACAUACAUGAAAAUUGGGCUGGGCCUUGCUUACUGUUAACGCACGGUCGGCAGCAAAUAUACAUAUAUAUUUGUCCUGGCAUUGGAAUCAAUGUGGGUGGUGGCCAAGCGGUAUGCGCUUGUGCAGUGAAAUCUAGAGGUUCAGGGUUCGAAGCCCUCUGGAAUGCGCACGGCCUAAAAGCGCAGGAUAUCCAGUAGCUCGUGCACGGACAGCACACAUCUCGCACCCCAGGCACGCACAAAUAGCAGUCUUGUUAGUCUUUCUUUUUUUUUUCUUUUUUUUUCACGUCCAAAAUUAUUAAAAUUUAUUCCUAUAAUCCUGCAAAACUUCACAAAAAUUAUUAGGGCAUCACGUGGGAGUAAAAAAAAAUUAAAUAAAAAUAAAUAAAUGUAUAUAUAUAUAUAUAUAUGAACAAAGUUCCAUGUAGUCCACAUAUUUACUGUAGUACCGUAGACCACGUAUGUUCUGCAACUAUAAAAUGACAUAAAAACAUUACAAAAUGUGCUAUUUUGCAAAUCAUGUUCUAUAAACAUCAUUAUUUUGUUAAAAAUUUUGAAAAUCCUAAACAUUCUACAAGUUAAAUAGUGAAAAACACAUUAUUCUGCAAAACAUGUUAAGUUUGCAGAACAUAUUUACAUAUUACAGAACAUAUGUGUUCUACUUGUCGAACAUAAAUGAUUUUCAAUAUUUUUAAUGAAAUAGUGAUAUUUAUAGAAUGUAUUUCACAAAAUAACAAGUUUCAUACAUUUUGCAAUGUUUUUAUGCCUAUCUAUAGUUGCAGAACAUACGUGGUCUACGGUACUACAGUAAAUAUGUGGACUACAUGGAACUUAACUCAAAUUUAUAUAUAUAUAUAUCCCUAAAAAAUACAAAAAUUAUAUUAUAUAUUAUAAUAACUUACGAGACAUUGGGUUGCCUCCCAAAAAGCGCUGUCGUUAACGUCAUUUAGCCGGACGUCAAUUACCUCAUUUUUCUCAUGGUGGCUCUUUCAAAACCAUCUCAAAUGGUCCAAGUGUCAAAUCCAUCUCGUUUAAUUCAUCUUCUCGGAAUUUCAAAGAAUUGUUUUCAUCACCUUCAACUUCAUUCUCGCGAAUAUCAUCAGUGACUUUCUUCACAACUUCUUCAACAAUAUUCACAGCAAAGCUUUCAGUUUCAAGUGUUGGUGCCUUCAUAACUUGAUCAAGAUCAAACUCCACUUUUUCUUCACCCACGUUUAGUGCAAGCUUGCCAGCCUUCACAUCAAUACUUGCUCCAGCAGUAGCCAAGAAUGGUCUUCCCAAGAUAAUCGGAAUCUCAACAUCCUCAUUCAUCUCCAGAAUAACAAAAUCACAAGGAAUAACAAAUUUAUCCACGUUCACCAAAACAUCCUCAAGUACACCCAGUGGAUCUUUUAUAGUUCGAUCUGCCAGUUGAAGUGAUAUCUUUGUUUUCUUUAGCUCUCCCAAACCAAGUCUUUUGUAGAUUGAAUAUGGCAUCAAACUCACACUAGCUCCAAGAUCACAUAAUGCUCUUUUUACUCCGACUUUCCCAAUAGUGCACGGCAAAGAAAAGCUCCCAGGAUCCUUGAGCUUAGGAGGAAUAUUGCGUUGUAUAACAGCACUACACUCUUCAUUAAGAUUGAUUGUUUCCACUGCCUCUAACUUCUUGCGAUUAGAUAAUACCUCUUUCAUGAAUUUCGCAUAAAGGGGCAUUUGAGCCAAAGCAUCAGCAAAAGGAAUGCUAAUGUGUAUCUCCCGAAACAUCUUUAAAAAUUUCUCAUAUUGCUUCUCUAACUUCCGGUUUGUCAACCUUUGUGGAAAAGGAAUCGGAGGCACGUAUUGUUUCACAUUAGCUUUCGGUGCAAUAUCAUCUUUUGGCUCAUCCACAAUCUUUUCAGCAAUUUUCACAGUAGUUUGGUAUGACUUUCUCUUUUUAGGAGGAAGAGUUGCAUCAUUCAGUUCCGGGGCUCUAACUUCUGGUAAUUCUCUGCCACUCCUCAAUGUGAUAGCCUUGCAGUGUUCUUGGGCAUUCACAUCUGGUUGACUAGGUAGUGAUCCCUGCUCACGAACACCAACCUUAUUAGCAAUUUGGCCAAUCUGCAUUUCUAACAUCUUCUGUGACGAAGCUAUCUGAUCAAUCCUUGACUCAACUUUCUCGAAUUUAGUCUCGAUAUUAGCAAAAGCCCCAGUAGUUCCUUGUAUCAUCUUGCCGAGUGCAACUUCCCAAUCAGCAGGCUCUUUUUUGUCAUUAGGUAGAGGUUGAAACUGUUGUUGACUUUGAUACUGCUGACGUGGUUGAAAACCAGGAGGCGGAUUUUGCUUUGGAGCUGCAUAUGAUGGAUUAACAGCAUGAUUAUUGUUGUAGGAAAGAUUGUUGUUGGGCCUCUGAUUUGGAUUGUAAUAAGAAUUAUUCUGAAUAGGCCAUGAUUGUCUUCCUUGGAUGAAAGCUGCUUCGUCCGGAAACUGUUGUGUAUAAGAGUGCUGAUUAACACUAGGAUCCAUAUAUCCUUCCAUCGGAGAAGAGAUAGCAUUGACACUUGCCUUUUGCCCACGGACCUCUUGAGUAAGAGCAUCCAAUUUCAAAGUGAGUAAGUUCAUCAUCUCGGUGUCUUGUGCUGAUUUCACUGAACUUGUACCACUGGGUGCCCAAGCAUAGUUAUUUGAGGCCAAUUCCUCAAGAAGUGCCUUAGCUUGAUGAACUGGUGCUUUCUUAAAAUUACCUCCAGCUGCAACAUCCAAACUCAGCCGAAUAUCAGAAUUUAAAGCUCCAUAGAAAGUACUCAGAACCAUCCACUCCUCGUAACCAUGAUGUGGACAUUUUCUCAACAAUGCCUUGUAUCUCUCCCAUGCUUGAUACAAGCCUUCACCUGGUUGUGCUUUGAAAGUCAGAAUAAUUGCUCUCAUUUGCUGAGUCUUGUCAGAAGGAUAAUAUUUGGAUAGGAACUCGGUCGAAAGAUUAUCCCAAGUAGCUAGAGCAGUAUCUGACAGCUGUUGAAACCAUUCUAAAGCCUUUCCCUUUAUAGAAUAAGGGAACAUGUGGAGACGAAUCUGAUCUGCUGUGACACCAUUAAUUCUGAAGGAACCACACAUUUGCACGAAGCGCUCUAGAUGGCGGUGUGGAUCCUCUCGUUCAAUGUCUCCUUCAAAAGCUGAAUUACUCACCAUCUGAAUAAGACUGGGAUUGAUGUUAUAUUGAGCUGCACCAAUCUCAGGAGUUUUGUACAUGCAAUUCGCAGGAUUAGGAGUCUCAUGAUCCUGAAUGGAUGACUCAUCAGGCACAACAAUAUUGAGAUUUCCGUUUGGAUUAUUGUUAUCAUCCAUCUUGGCCUCCUCUUCCUUUCUCCUUGCUUCUUUCCUUCUAACUCGAAAAGUACGCUCAAUUUCUGGAUCUGGUUCGAAAUUUCCAACACUUUUCGAUCUUCGCAUAUAUAUGGUGCACCUGAAACGAAACACCAAUGACAUAGAUCUUGAAAACAAAUUUAAUAAAAUCUAAACAAUAAGAAAUAAUUAACCUAAACUUAAUAUUGCUGCCUUCCCCGGCAGCGGCGCCAAUUUGUUGCAGUGAAAUUAUGUAAAGUUCGUUCUCAGGGAAGGACUGAAUACAAUAUCAAAUCAAGUAUAUUACUCCUUUCUAUUUAGAAGUUUAGAGAAUAAAUUGUGGUUUUUACUAUCAACUAAAUUAAACUAAUAAAGCAAUUAAAAGUGUGAAUUAACGAUGAUAAAAAGCAAUCCAAGAAUCAGGUUUCUUUGCUGGCUACAAUGAAUGUCAAUCAAUUGUGAUAAACAAGUCUCCACUCUGCUAAAAACAAUCCUUCUAUUGAUUAUAAUGUUCUCUCCCAAGAUACAAAAUAAUACCUAUAACUUAAUCUUGAAGUCACUCCCAUGAUCAAUCAAAACCAACUUAUAAGCUAUCACGAACCAAGGAUUUUCUGUUUCACAACUCGCCUAAUAAUCUCCCGAUUAAUUAAUCAAGUUAUGUCUGUCAUAUCAUGUACAAGAAAUAUAAAUCCUCUCCCGAUUCAUUAUAAAUCCUACAGAUACAAUUACAGGUUCGCGACUCCUAUAACUGUGUUAAGCGCUCAAUGACAGAUUAGCAUACAUAGAGAAACCACAAUCUUAGAUCAAACAAACAUAUUAAGCCAACAAAUACUCCCCAAUCCUCGGAUUAGAGGAUUAGUUACCCAUAACAAUUAAAGAAAACACGAAUAUAUAUAUUACUGAAAUCAUGUCAAAAGAGUACAAGAGUGAAGAAAAUACAACUUGACGAAAUCUCUCGAACUUGGACUGAAUCCCUUCAAUCUUUGCUCAAGUUAUCUCCCAAAGCUUUCUCUACCUCUCUCUCUCAAUACACAAUAUUCAAUCUAUCUCUAAUAAUACCAACCCUAAUAAUAAUAAUAGUGUUUUUAAUGGUUUCCUUGAAAAACAAAUCCAAUUUCCUAAAACAAGUUGGAUUCUGAAAAGAAAUUCGCUGGCUGACUUUCAGGCCUGAUUCUGGACUGCUACAGCUGGAUUUUGAUUGCUGGCCCAUUUUAAAAUUGUAGAAAAUUUCGAUAUCUUCGCGUGGGCUGUUGAAUCGUCUAAUUCUGACGCCCGGAACUCAAGUUAUGGCCCAAACAAGAUUUGUUGCGCAUGUAGCCCAUAAAGUCCGAAUUUCCAUCAAAUAAAAGCCCAAAUAAGCUAAUUUCAUCCAACUUAGGAAUAUUUAUUUUCCUGCCAUCAAACACUUAAAAUCAAUUAGUAAUAACCCGAUUAUUUACAAAAUACUACAAUUAUGGGAAUAAAAUCAUAUAAAAACAUAUAUAAAUAUAUGCUCUAUCAAAUAUCCCCACACUUAGUAUUUUGCACGUCCUCGGGCAAAUAAAAUAAAUAAAACUAACACCUAAUAGAUAUAUACCACUUCCGUAGGUGAUCACGGUUGCAUUUGGCAUAUGCAACAAGCCCUUUAAACCCCUAGGCAGCCCUAGUGGACGAGUAAGGUCUCGUGAGGGUUUAUAGUGAAUGUACCCACAAAAUUCAUUUUUUUUUCUGCCAACUCUUAAGAAUGCAACUAAUAUGAAUGCAAACUAAAUGAAUAUGCAUAGAUCCCAAUCAUGAAAUUAUCAACCUUGUCAAUAUAUAAUCCUCAGAAUAUGCAACAAUUAAGGAUUUCAUCUAUCACACAUAUUAGUCAUGCAACUCUUCCACUGCAAGUACGGAGUGCAUCGUGUGUGCUCAACAUGCUCUCUAAUGAAACAAAACAGAGACCAACAAACUUCAACAGAAUCUUAACCAUGAGUCGUUAAUCAGAAUAAUGCUUAAACACUCCGUUACAUUAGAGCCAACUAUAGCUUAGGGUCACCAAGGAACUUCCAUGCCUCUCCUAAAUAUAUAUAUGCUUCUUCUCUUUUUUUUUUCAUUUUUUUUUCAGCAUCUAUUAUUUGGUGUGUACAUGCUCGGUCAAAGGUCGGAACGCUUCUCAGGGUCAGUGAGUUACGACCACCAUAAGACUUCACCAACUAAAUUGUUCACAUGCGAUUUAGGUGGCUUAUUUGACCGUGCAAUGGUUGAGAUCCCUAAAGACUUAUACACUAAUACCCAUUUAGCGAGUGUUGGGUCAGCAAUCCCAAACCAUGAAAGGCUUUAGGUUACUAGGCACAAAGUCCCCUCAGACUUAAUUACUCGAGUAUUAAUGAGCCCAACCUAAUCAAUUCUACCACCAUUUUUUUGUGAACUUUAUUGCUAAUACACGUAUCUUUUUUUUUCUUUUUUCUUUUCUCUCUUUUUUUUUAGAAAGGCAUGUACAUCCCAAAGCUCCCCCUCACUUGAGAAUUAUAGACUCUAAGCUCAAAAGGGAAUAGUCAAAAUUCUACGCCCGGCUCAAUAGUUAAGACUCAAGAAAUAAGCUAGUCUAAAUCUCGCCUCUAGAACAGUUAUUGUGUAAUUACAAAUUCCGUACAAGUAAUUUCUAAGCAUGCAAGACAUCACAUAUGAUCAUGACUACUAACCAAAAAAUUAUGCAAAUAAACUCAUCAUAGGAAAUUGACUUGGUCGACAGGCAUUCAUGGAAUUAUGCAAAUGCAAACUAAAAAGAAAACAAAUAAAUUAAAAUAAAA
This 8314-nucleotide long non-coding RNA is filed under the name Daucus carota (carrot). RNAcentral's name for it is "long non-coding RNA (DCAR_LNC005460)". The stretch from base 5023 to 5137 matches the Rfam family "Plant small nucleolar RNA R71". Lineage: Eukaryota; Viridiplantae; Streptophyta; Magnoliopsida; Apiales; Apiaceae. The record is from RNAcentral.